UAGAAAUGAACACCAAUAGGAUUCCAUGUUUUCUCUAGGUUAGGGUUUAGGGUUUCUCUUCUCUCUCUUUCCUCUCCUCCUCCUGUGACGACGAGACAGCGCGACGAACAAGACUCCUCUCCUCUCAGGUUUUGAACUUUUUAAUUUGUAUUUGGACCAUUAAUUUGGAGACAAGGCGCUGCUCCAUCUCAGCUAGCUCCCUUUCUCAUAUCAAUAUCAGCGAAAUUGAUGAGAACUCUGGCCGAAUAACCGAAGAGAUAGAGAAGUGCAAAGAGCAGAGUCUUGAGAAGAAAGUGGCUUAGAGGAAGUCAAAGAACAAGUUAAGAAAGCUGCUUAUGCCGUUUUAGAGAUGCUCAACAACAGAGCAUAGAAUGUAUAGGUGCUGUGUUCAGUUUAGCACUUAAUUGCAUAACAAAGCCCAUCACUUCUCUGGGUUGAUGUGUUUGUGAGAAUACAAUUUCGGUCUUAAUAUCUCUCCAGCUCUUCUCGUGUUCCUCAACCGUUUCUCAGUUCAUACAGUGAAUUUCAGUCUCGAGAUUAAUGGCCAACAAGAAACUGGCAUCAAAAAAGAAGAAGUCGAGAAACAAAUCAACUCGUGCCAAUCCUUUAUCAGCCCAACAAGGGUCAUCCUCAUCUGCAGAGACAGCUGCUGCUUAUGUGGCAAGUCCAUCAGUGACCAACACCACUGCUGCUCCAGCACCUGCACAACGAUUGUAUGCUCGAUGUCUCUUAAAAGAGUACUUGAAGAACUAUUAUCAAUGGGAUGAGGAGCAGUUCAAGCGUGGGGGUCAAAACAUUCUUGGAAGUCUCGCGGGGAAAGUUGCUUAUUUGGGGUCAAAAGGCAUCACACAUGGACGCUUGACUUGUGAAAAUAUCUUCGUAAUUGGCAAUGGGGCUGAGAAUCUGGAGGUUGAGAUUAAGGAUAUCCCAUGUAGAUACAACCCAGCCAUGCCAAGCUAUCGUGAACAAUUUCUUACAUUGGCACUUCUGCUGGUUGAUACAUGGAAAGCUACUUGUCCCUUGUUGUUAAAGCAUUUUUGCAAUAUGAUGGAAUAUUGCAUACCUUGGUAAGCAAGCUCCUGAUAACUUAUUUUAUUCCUAUAGGGUCAUGCAUUAAGGCGGCAAAUUCACACACCCACAGAUGAAAUAAUACAACCUAAAAAGAAAUGCAGACGUAGUUCAACUUAAACAUGUUCAAUAUAAAAACCCAAAUGGAGUUCUCUGUAGUUAUGAGGAUUGAGUGUUAUUUGGGUUCACCUAACGUACUAAAACACUUUCCCAAGAAGAGGACGAACCUGCUUUCAAUCAGGCACACGAAAUAUGUAGUGUGAAUUACUUGGAAAGCCAAUAUUCUCAUCUCUUACUCUCUUUCAUUAAGUGCAGGUUCUGUUUUAAGCAACUGCAGUGGCAUCCCCUACUAUUAUCGUCUGACGAAGUAGCCGCGGUUAUAUACCGUCUCUAUACACAUCUUAACAUUGAGAGAAAAGGUUGGAAAAAGGAUUACAAAAAGCUUAUAGGGAGAGAAAAGGUUGACUUUGGUGAAAUCAUUGGUGACAUCAUUUCUGGAACUUCUCGUGGUGCCUUUGCUUUCGCUAAGGUUUACAGUUAUCCAGGAGUCGUAUAUGAGCCAAAUGCGCUAGGAGCACUCGUGUUUUUCAGACAUGUACUCAAGCAUGUUAAUGAGCAUAUCCAGGAGGACCUCGAGAAGGAAAAUGCGAAACAAGAGGAAAUAGAGGAUGCACUUCUGACAAGAGAGGAAACAGUGAAUACGCUCGUGCACUUCUUCCCAAAAGUGCCCCUAGAGUUAUUCAAUUACAUGCUUUAUAAGCGCAUUGACAUAAAUACUACAAUUACAUAGAGAGCUUCAAAUCCGGUAAACAUAUUAUUUUGUAUUCUCCGAAUUCAUACUUUAAAUCCAAUGUCACAAACACAUACAAUAGAGCUUCAACUUUUGGACCUGUAGACUGUUAAGAAAUCUAUCAGCUUAAGACUUUAUUUAGUUGAGUGGUUUACU
Non-coding RNA from Prunus mume (Japanese apricot), 2014 nucleotides. The record is from RefSeq and is a predicted model, not a curated record. NCBI's taxonomy places the organism in Eukaryota, Viridiplantae, Streptophyta, Magnoliopsida, Rosales, Rosaceae.